This is a long non-coding RNA of Telopea speciosissima, 321 nucleotides long. RefSeq lists it as uncharacterized. The transcript has 2 exons. Lineage: Eukaryota; Viridiplantae; Streptophyta; Magnoliopsida; Proteales; Proteaceae. The record is from RefSeq and is a predicted model, not a curated record.
GUUUCCAUUUUAUAACCUUAACUGACCUCAGGAAAUAACUUUUAUCCUAUGAAGGUACAAAGAUGGCGAACCACUAUCAGCUGAAGAUCAGUCAUUUGUACUUGAUAGCGUUUUUACCCAUCAUCCUGAUAAAGUGUCAAAAAUGGGUGAUGGAAUUGGCUAUGUCAUGAUUAAUAAGCACAGUUCUUUCCAAGACAGCAGGUGUUUCUAUGUUGUCUCUACUGAUGGGAGAAACGAAGAUUUUUCUUACCGGAAAUGUAUUGAGAAUUUCAUCAAGGGUAAGUACCCUGCUGUUGCUGAAUCCUUCAUUUCUAAAUACUU